Molecule: ribosomal RNA, 293 nt
Filed under: uncultured bacterium
Lineage: Bacteria
Description: partial 16S ribosomal RNA
Source: RNAcentral
GGACUACCGGGGUAUCUAAUCCUGUUUGCUCCCCACGCUUUCGCCCAUCAGCGUCAGUACUGGCCCAGAGUGCCGCCUUCGCCACCGGUGUUCCUCCUGAUAUCUGCGCAUUUCACCGCUACACCAGGAAUUCCGCACUCCCCUACCAGACUCAAGUCAUAGCAGUAUCGGGUGGCGUCUCUGGGUUGAGCCCAGAGUUUUCACACCCGACUUACCAAACCGCCUACGGGCCCUUUACGCCCAAUAAAUCCGGACAACGCUCGCACCCUACGUGUUACCGCGGCGGCUGGCAC